UCCUUAGAUGUCCUGGGCCGCACGCGCGCUACACUGAUGCAUUCAACGAGUUCUACCUUGGCCGAGAGGCCUGGGCAAUCUUUUGAACCUGCAUCGUGAUAGGGAUAGAUUAUUGCAAUUAUUAAUCUUGAACGAGGAAUUCCUAGUAAACGCAGAUCAUCAAUCUGCAUUGAUUACGUCCCUGCCCUUUGUACACACCGCCCGUCGCACCUACCGAUUGAAUGGUCCGGUGAAGCCUCGGGAUUGUGGCGAGUUCCCUUUAUUGGGAGUUUGUCGCGAGAACUUGUCUAAACCUUAUCAUUUAGAGGAAGGUGAAGUCGUAACA
This 325-nucleotide ribosomal RNA is filed under the name uncultured eukaryote. RNAcentral's name for it is "partial 18S ribosomal RNA". It matches the Rfam family "Eukaryotic small subunit ribosomal RNA", at positions 1470 to 1796 of the family's 1831-position model. The record is from RNAcentral.